AUUGAACGCUGGCGGCAUGCCUUACACAUGCAAGUCGAACGGUAACAGGUCUUCGGAUGCUGACGAGUGGCGAACGGGUGAGUAAUACAUCGGAACGUGCCCGAUCGUGGGGGAUAACGGAGCGAAAGCUUUGCUAAUACCGCAUACGAUCUACGGAUGAAAGCAGGGGACCGCAAGGGAUUGCGCGGACGGAGCGGCCGAUGGCAGAUUAGGUAGUUGGUGGGAUAAAAGCUUACCAAGCCGACGAUCUGUAGCUGGUCUGAGAGGACGACCAGCCACACUGGGACUGAGACACGGCCCAGACGCCUACGGGAGGCAGCAGUGGGGAAUUUUGGACAAUGGGCGAAAGCCUGAUCCAGCCAUGCCGCGUGCAGGAUGAAGGCCUUCGGGUUGUAAACUGCUUUUGUACGGAACGAAAAGACUCUUUCUAAUAAAGAGGGUCCAUGACGGUACCGUAAGAAUAAGCACCGGCUAACUACGUG
Molecule: ribosomal RNA, 482 nt
Filed under: uncultured bacterium
Lineage: Bacteria
Description: partial 16S ribosomal RNA
Rfam family: Bacterial small subunit ribosomal RNA
Source: RNAcentral